UAUAUGAGACAAUAUCUGAAAAAGUCUAAUUUCCAUGUCCCGCACUUCACCAGCAAUUAUUUUUUUAUUCAACCAUCUUUUUUAAAAAUUUUAAGUUUUAGUAUAAACUAAAUUAUAUAAUGCACCAUGGCCUGCCAAUUAAACACUCAUUCUUAUAUUUCUUCCAAUAAAAUAUUGUAAUUUAAAUGUUCAACCCCCCCCUAAAAUCAUGUUGUCCC
RNAcentral lists this long non-coding RNA (218 nucleotides) under Mytilus galloprovincialis (Mediterranean mussel). The record is from RNAcentral. Lineage: Eukaryota; Metazoa; Mollusca; Bivalvia; Mytilida; Mytilidae.